This 276-nucleotide ribosomal RNA is filed under the name uncultured Eubacteriales bacterium. Its description in RNAcentral is "uncultured Clostridiales bacterium partial 16S ribosomal RNA". It matches the Rfam family "Bacterial small subunit ribosomal RNA", at positions 69 to 339 of the family's 1533-position model. Lineage: Bacteria; Bacillati; Bacillota; Clostridia; Eubacteriales. The record is from RNAcentral.
ACGGAUCCUUCGGGUGACGGAUCGGAUGGAGAGCGGCGGACGGGUGAGUAACGCGUAGGUAACCUGCCCUGUACAGAGGGAUAGCCACUGGAAACGGUGAUUAAUACCUCAUAAUGCCGGAUCUGCACAUGCAGGACCGGUCAAAGUUUUUUCGGUACAGGAUGGACCUGCGUCUGAUUAGCUUGUUGGUGGGGUAACGGCUCACCAAGGCGACGAUCAGUAGCCGACCUGAGAGGGUGAUCGGCCACAUUGGAACUGAGACACGGUCCAAACUCC